RNAcentral lists this ribosomal RNA (324 nucleotides) under uncultured eukaryote. Its description in RNAcentral is "partial 18S ribosomal RNA". It matches the Rfam family "Eukaryotic small subunit ribosomal RNA", at positions 1470 to 1796 of the family's 1831-position model. The record is from RNAcentral.
CCCUUAGAUGUUCUGGGCUGCACGCGCGCUACACUGAUGCGAUCAACAAGUUUUUCCUAUGUCGAUAGACACGGGUAAUCUUUUGAACUCGCAUCGUGAUGGGGAUAGAUUAUUGUAAUUAUUAAUCUUCAACGAGGAAUUCCUAGUAGGUGCAAAUCAUCAGUUUGCAUCGAUUACGUCCCCGCCCUUUGUACACACCGCCCGUCGCUGCUACCGAUUGGUUGAUCUGGUGAAUUAUUCGGACUGCCGGCUGAAGGGGUUUCCUCAUCUGCCAGCGGAAAGUCUUGUUAACCCUAUCAACUAGAGGAAGCAGAAGUCGUAACA